UCAGGAGGGGUAACCCUUCUGAGGGGAGAGCGGCGAACGGGUGAGUAACACGUGGGCAACCUGCCCCGGACACCGGGAUAACCCAGGGAAACCUGAGCUAAUACCGGAUACUCCGGCGCGAUCGCAUGGUCGUGCCGGGAAAGCUCCGACGGUCCGGGAUGGGCCCGCGGCCCAUCAGCUUGUUGGUGGGGUAACGGCCCACCAAGGCGACGACGGGUAGCUGGUCUGAGAGGACGGCCAGCCACACUGGGACUGAGACACGGCCCAGACUCCUACGGGAGGCAGCAGUGGGGGAUCUUGCGCUAAUGCGCGAAAGCGUGACGCAGCGACGCCGCGUGGGGGAUGAAGGCCUUCGGG
Molecule: ribosomal RNA, 357 nt
Filed under: uncultured bacterium
Lineage: Bacteria
Description: bacterial SSU rRNA
Rfam family: Bacterial small subunit ribosomal RNA
Source: RNAcentral